This 485-nucleotide ribosomal RNA is filed under the name uncultured bacterium. RNAcentral's name for it is "bacterial SSU rRNA". It matches the Rfam family "Bacterial small subunit ribosomal RNA", at positions 8 to 526 of the family's 1533-position model. The record is from RNAcentral.
AGAGUUUGAUCAUGGCUCAGAACGAACGUUGGCGGCGUGGAUUAGGCAUGCAAGUCGGGGGAAUCCCGCAAGGGGGAACCGGCGUAAGGGGCAGUAAGGCAUGGGUACCUACCCUGGGGUUCGGGAUAGCCAUCAGAGAUGGUGGGUAAUACCGGAUGAUGUCGUGAGACCAAAGAUUUAUCGCCCUGGGAGGGGCCCAUGUGAUAUUAGCUAGUUGGUGAGGUAAUGGCUCACCAAGGCUAAGAUGUCUAGCGGGUGUGAGAGCACGACCCGCGCCACUCGCACUGAGACACUGGCGAGACACCUACGGGUGGCUGCAGUCGAGGAUCUUCGGCAAUGGGCGAAAGCCUGACCGAGCGACGCCGCGUGCGCGAUGAAGGCCUUCGGGUUGUAAAGCGCUUUAGUGGGGGAGAAAAGCCCGCAAGGGUGUGAUCUAUCCCAAAAAUAAGCACGGGCUAAGUUCGUGCCAGCAGCCGCGGUAAUUC